AGCGAACGCUGGCGGCAGGCCUAACACAUGCAAGUCGAACGAACUCUUCGGAGUUAGUGGCGGACGGGUGAGUAACACGUGGGAACGUGCCUUUUGGUUCGGAAUAACUCAGGGAAACUUGUUCUAAUACCGAAUGUGCCCUUCGUGGGAAAGAUUUAUCGCCAUUGGAGCGGCCCGCGCCUGAUUAGCUAGUGGGUGAGGUAACGGCUCACCAAGGCGACGAUCAGUAGCUGGUCUGAGAGGAUGACCAGCCACACUGGGACUGAGCCACGGCCCAGACUACUACGGGAGGGAGCAGUGGGGAAUCUAGCGCAAUGGGCGAAAGCAUGACGCAGCCAUGCCGGGUGAAUGAUGAAGGUCGUAGGAUAGUAAAAAUAUUUCACCGGGGACGAUAAUGACGGUACCCGGAGAAGAAGCCCCGGCUAACUUCGUG
This 433-nucleotide ribosomal RNA is filed under the name uncultured bacterium. RNAcentral's name for it is "partial 16S ribosomal RNA". It matches the Rfam family "Bacterial small subunit ribosomal RNA", at positions 29 to 507 of the family's 1533-position model. The record is from RNAcentral.